UCUUAGGGAGGCACCAGUGGGAAUUUUGGACAAUGGGGGGAACCCUUAUCCAAGCCAUGCGGCGUGGUGAAGAAGCCUUUAUGGUUGUAAAGCACUUUAAGCGAGGAGGAAGGCUACUUUAGUUAUUACCUAGAGAUAGUGGACGUUACUCGCAGAAUAAGCACCGGCUAACUCUGUGCCAGCAGCCGCGGUAAUACAGAGGGUGCGAGCGUUAAUCGGAUUUACUGGGCGUAAAGCGUGCGUAGGCGGCUUAUUAAGUCGGAUGUGAAAUCCCCGAAGCUUAACUUGGGAAUUGCAUUCGAUACUGGUGAGCUAGAGUAUGGGAGAGGAUGGUAGAAUUCCAGGUGUAGCGGUGAAAUGCGUAGAGAUCUGGAGGAAUACCGAUGGCGAAGGCAGCCAUCUGGCCUAAUACUGACGCUGAGGUACGAAAGCAUGGGGAGCAAACAGGAUUAGAUACCCUGGUAGUCCAUGCCGUAAACGAUGUCUACUAGCCGUUGGGGCCUUUGAGGCUUUAGUGGCGCAGCUAACGCGAUAAGUAGACCGCCUGGGGAGUACGGUCGCAAGACUAAAACUCAAAUGAAUUGACGGGGGCCCGCACAAGCGGUGGAGCAUGUGGUUUAAUUCGAUGCAACGCGAAGAACCUUACCUGGCCUUGACAUACUAGAAACUUUCCAGAGAUGGAUUGGUGCCUUCGGGAAUCUAGAUACAGGUGCUGCAUGGCUGUCGUCAGCUCGUGUCGUGAGAUGUUGGGUUAAGUCCCGCAACGAGCGCAACCCUUUUCCUUACUUGCCAGCAUUUCGGAUGGGAACUUUAAGGAUACUGCCAGUGACAAACUGGAGGAAGGCGGGGACGACGUCAAGUCAUCAUGGCCCUUACGGCCAGGGCUACACACGUGCUACAAUGGUCGGUACAAAGGGUUGCUACACAGCGAUGUGAUGCUAAUCUCAAAAAGCCGAUCGUAGUCCGGAUUGGAGUCUGCAACUCGACUCCAUGAAGUCGGAAUCGCUAGUAAUCGCGGAUCAGAAUGCCGCGGUGAAUACGUUCCCGGGCCUUGUACACACCGCCCGUCACACCAUGGGAGUUUGUUGCACCAGAAGUAGCUAGCCUAACUGCAAAGAGGGCGGUUACCACGGUG
Molecule: ribosomal RNA, 1135 nt
Filed under: Acinetobacter baumannii
Lineage: Bacteria; Pseudomonadati; Pseudomonadota; Gammaproteobacteria; Moraxellales; Moraxellaceae
Description: bacterial SSU rRNA
Rfam family: Bacterial small subunit ribosomal RNA
Source: RNAcentral